UUUUAUGAUUUAGUAUAAGAUGUACGUAGGAUUUUGAUUCUUAAAGUAACAGUUUGAUUCUGUUAAUUA
This 69-nucleotide transfer RNA is filed under the name Dermestes lardarius (bacon beetle). RNAcentral describes it as "tRNA-Gln". It matches the Rfam family "tRNA". From Rfam's summary of the family: Transfer RNA (tRNA) molecules are approximately 80 nucleotides in length. Their secondary structure includes four short double-helical elements and three loops (D, anti-codon, and T loops). The record is from RNAcentral. Lineage: Eukaryota; Metazoa; Arthropoda; Insecta; Coleoptera; Dermestidae.